This 1205-nucleotide long non-coding RNA is filed under the name Sinocyclocheilus anshuiensis. RNAcentral's name for it is "lncRNA (ENSSANG00000010653.1)". Lineage: Eukaryota; Metazoa; Chordata; Actinopteri; Cypriniformes; Cyprinidae. The record is from RNAcentral.
GGGAAGACCAUAAAUAAAACAGGAUUAUGAUCAGCUACCAGGAGAUCAUCUAUGAUAAUGUCACUGACUGAUAAACCAAGUGACAGAAUCAAAUCCAGCGUGUGGCCAUAAAUAUGUGUGGGACCAUUUACCAUUUGCUGAAGGCCAACAGAAUCAAUGAGAUUUUAAAAAUCCUUUGCAAAAGAGUUUGUCGGCAAGCAUAUGUGAAUGUAGAAGUCCCCCAGUAUUAAUAUUUUGUCAUAUUUCGCAACAAUGUCUGCUAGAAACAUAGAGAGUUCUGACAAAAAAAAUCUUAUUAAAUCCAGGCGGUCGAUAGACAACGGCACAUAACACAGGGGAUAACAGCUGCAUUUCAAAAACUUUGAGUUAAAAACUUCAAAGCUCAAAUUUGAGUCUAGUGCAAGUAAAAAUAUCUUUAUAAACAGAAGCCACACCACCUCCCCUUCCCGUUUCUCGGGGAGUAUUAAAAACUGUAAAGUUACUAGGCACCGAUUCUCUAAAAGCAGACCUAUCCCCAACGUUCAACCAAGUUUCAGUGAUAAAUAAAAGCUCUAAUGAAGUCGUUUAAAAUGAAGGUCUUGUUUCUCAACGAACUGACGUUUAUCAUCGCCAACCUGAUCGCUGGUCCCUUAUCGUCCACCGAGGCAUUGUAAGACUGCUGCGGGCCAAGCGGUACAGGGCAAAGAUUCUGUAGAGGAACUCCAUUCCAAUGGAGAUGCAAGGUAUGCCGAAGACAGGUCGUCACGGACCCCGCCGGUUCAACUGGCUGAACACCGCGGCAACGCACUCUCCGAGCGCCGAUACAACACCCGGCCGCCACACCAUCCCCAUAGCAGCGCAUCCACUGGACGAGGCAUUCUCGGAAGAGAGACCAGCAGGGCAGAAGAUCCUGACCUGCUGGAGUGUGUUUAUAUUGAAGAUGGUCCGUGUUUUAACAUAUCCCACAAGCCCUGAGUGACCUCUCCUGCUGAACACGGCACGAGAAAAAGCCCAGUCGGACUGCUGCACAUGGACGACAGAAUAGCGAUGGAAACACUCUCUCUCUUCGAUCAGUACAUGUCAUUGAUGAAUUGACAAAAAUGCCUCCGGCGUCUGACAGUGGACAGCUGAUCAAUACUGAGAAUAUGUGACAGACAAAUGGAAAAGUACAGAGCAGCUAAUAACUGUCACACAGGAGAUCUAACUGUAGCGAUCCAGCCCUACAG